This 70-nucleotide transfer RNA is filed under the name Sphaerias blanfordi (Blanford's fruit bat). RNAcentral describes it as "tRNA-Trp". It matches the Rfam family "tRNA". Rfam says of the family: Transfer RNA (tRNA) molecules are approximately 80 nucleotides in length. Their secondary structure includes four short double-helical elements and three loops (D, anti-codon, and T loops). Lineage: Eukaryota; Metazoa; Chordata; Mammalia; Chiroptera; Pteropodidae. The record is from RNAcentral.
AGGAGCUUAGGUUAAUUAUCAGACCAAGGGCCUUCAAAGCCCUAAGUAAAUGCUACUCAUUUAGCUCCUG